RNAcentral lists this ribosomal RNA (2163 nucleotides) under Enterobacter hormaechei. RNAcentral describes it as "partial 23S ribosomal RNA". It matches the Rfam family "Bacterial large subunit ribosomal RNA", at positions 1 to 2187 of the family's 2925-position model. The record is from RNAcentral. Lineage: Bacteria; Pseudomonadati; Pseudomonadota; Gammaproteobacteria; Enterobacterales; Enterobacteriaceae. RNAcentral also lists the same sequence under 1 other name.
GGUUAAGCGACUAAGCGUACACGGUGGAUGCCCUGGCAGUCAGAGGCGAUGAAGGACGUGCUAAUCUGCGAAAAGCGCCGGCGAGGUGAUAUGAACCCUUGACCCGGCGAUGUCCGAAUGGGGAAACCCAGUGCAAUUCGUUGCACUAUCGUUAACUGAAUACAUAGGUUAACGAGGCGAACCGGGGGAACUGAAACAUCUAAGUACCCCGAGGAAAAGAAAUCAACCGAGAUUCCCCCAGUAGCGGCGAGCGAACGGGGAGCAGCCCGGAGUCUGAAUCAGCUUGUGUGUUAGUGGAACGGUCUGGAAAGUCCGACGGUACAGGGUGAUAGUCCCGUACACGAAAGCACACAUGCUGUGAACUCGAAGAGUAGGGCGGGACACGUGGUAUCCUGUCUGAAUAUGGGGGGACCAUCCUCCAAGGCUAAAUACUCCUGACUGACCGAUAGUGAACCAGUACCGUGAGGGAAAGGCGAAAAGAACCCCGGCGAGGGGAGUGAAAAAGAACCUGAAACCGUGUACGUACAAGCAGUGGGAGCCUCUUUAUGGGGUGACUGCGUACCUUUUGUAUAAUGGGUCAGCGACUUAUAUUCUGUAGCAAGGUUAACCGUAUAGGGGAGCCGAAGGGAAACCGAGUCUUAACUGGGCGUUAAGUUGCAGGGUAUAGACCCGAAACCCGGUGAUCUAGCCAUGGGCAGGUUGAAGGUUGGGUAACACUAACUGGAGGACCGAACCGACUAAUGUUGAAAAAUUAGCGGAUGACCUGUGGCUGGGGGUGAAAGGCCAAUCAAACCGGGAGAUAGCUGGUUCUCCCCGAAAGCUAUUUAGGUAGCGCCUCGUGAACUCAUCUUCGGGGGUAGAGCACUGUUUCGGCUAGGGGGCCAUCCCGGCUUACCAACCCGAUGCAAACUACGAAUACCGAAGAAUGUUAUCACGGGAGACACACGGCGGGUGCUAACGUCCGUCGUGAAGAGGGAAACAACCCAGACCGCCAGCUAAGGUCCCAAAGUCAUGGUUAAGUGGGAAACGAUGUGGGAAGGCACAGACAGCCAGGAUGUUGGCUUAGAAGCAGCCAUCAUUUAAAGAAAGCGUAAUAGCUCACUGGUCGAGUCGGCCUGCGCGGAAGAUGUAACGGGGCUAAACCAUGCACCGAAGCUGCGGCAGCGACGCUUAUGCGUUGUUGGGUAGGGGAGCGUUCUGUAAGCCGUUGAAGGUGUGCUGUGAGGCAUGCUGGAGGUAUCAGAAGUGCGAAUGCUGACAUAAGUAACGAUAAAGCGGGUGAAAAGCCCGCUCGCCGGAAGACCAAGGGUUCCUGUCCAACGUUAAUCGGGGCAGGGUGAGUCGACCCCUAAGGCGAGGCCGAAAGGCGUAGUCGAUGGGAAACAGGUUAAUAUUCCUGUACUUGGUGUUACUGCGAAGGGGGGACGGAGAAGGCUAUGUCAGCCGGGCGACGGUUGUCCCGGUUUAAGCAUGUAGGCGGAGGUUCCAGGUAAAUCCGGUACCUUAUUAACGCUGAGGUGUGAUGACGAGGCACUACGGUGCUGAAGUGAUAAAUGCCCUGCUUCCAGGAAAAGCCUCUAAGCAUCAGGUAACACGAAAUCGUACCCCAAACCGACACAGGUGGUCAGGUAGAGAAUACCAAGGCGCUUGAGAGAACUCGGGUGAAGGAACUAGGCAAAAUGGUGCCGUAACUUCGGGAGAAGGCACGCUGAUGUGUAGGUGAAGCCCCUGCGGGCGGAGCUGAAAUCAGUCGAAGAUACCAGCUGGCUGCAACUGUUUAUUAAAAACACAGCACUGUGCAAACACGAAAGUGGACGUAUACGGUGUGACGCCUGCCCGGUGCCGGAAGGUUAAUUGAUGGGGUUAGCGGCAACGCGAAGCUCUUGAUCGAAGCCCCGGUAAACGGCGGCCGUAACUAUAACGGUCCUAAGGUAGCGAAAUUCCUUGUCGGGUAAGUUCCGACCUGCACGAAUGGCGUAAUGAUGGCCAGGCUGUCUCCACCCGAGACUCAGUGAAAUUGAACUCGCUGUGAAGAUGCAGUGUACCCGCGGCAAGACGGAAAGACCCCGUGAACCUUUACUAUAGCUUGACACUGAACACUGGUCCUUGAUGUGUAGGAUAGGUGGGAGGCUUUGAAGCGUGGACGCCAGUCUGCGUGGAGCC